Zingiber officinale is the source of this 298-nucleotide long non-coding RNA. RefSeq lists it as uncharacterized. NCBI's taxonomy places the organism in Eukaryota, Viridiplantae, Streptophyta, Magnoliopsida, Zingiberales, Zingiberaceae. The transcript has 4 exons. The record is from RefSeq and is a predicted model, not a curated record.
AGAAGGAUGGUUAAUUGAUCAGUGAUCUCCCUGCUUGACCUCCUGUUGUGAUCCGAUUGAUUCCAAUGAGGUUGAGUGCUGUGGAUCAACAAGCACGACUGUGAGCUCAAAAUAUCAGUAGAUUUGUUGUGGUAGUGCCUUAACAGGAUUUGAGACUUCUCCAUUCAGGAAAAGACAAGUCCGGUAGAUACAAAAAUUACAAGAUCGCAAGUUUGGAUUGAAGGUCACAAGAAAAAAAAUGGGGAGCCUAGUACUCAAGCUGUUGGAGAGAAAAUAGUGGACCUAAUUCGACCAAAUG